AGGAAAUGACGGGCAGCGGACGUGGUAAUACGGAGUGGGCAAGCGUUGUACGGAAGCACGGGGCGUAAAGCGAGUGUAGGCGGCCUGCGCAGUCUGGUGUGACAGCCCGGGGCGCACCCCCGGAAGUGCAUUGGAUACGGGAAGGCUGGAGUACCGGAGAGGAGGGUGGAAUUCCGGGUGUAGCGGUGAAAUGCGUAGAUAUCAGGAGGAACACCGGUGGCGAAGGCGGCCCUCUGGACGGAUACUGACGCUGAGACGCGACAGCGUGGGGAGCAAACAGGAUUAGAUACCCCGGUAGUC
This 300-nucleotide ribosomal RNA is filed under the name uncultured Lactobacillus sp. RNAcentral's name for it is "bacterial SSU rRNA". It matches the Rfam family "Bacterial small subunit ribosomal RNA", at positions 495 to 795 of the family's 1533-position model. Lineage: Bacteria; Bacillati; Bacillota; Bacilli; Lactobacillales; Lactobacillaceae. The record is from RNAcentral.